UGCGGCAAAAUUUGUGUGGAGUAUAUCAGAACACUAUAACAUUAAAUAAUGCGGCAAAAUUUUGAAUUUGGAUCUCCUAUGUUUGUGUGCUUGCACAAUACAACAUUUGUAUGUAUUUUGUGUUUUUUAUUUUUUAUCAAGUAAAUUCAUUUCUAAGUGAAUUACUAAAAUCUUUGGAAUUCGUACUCUUACCUCUUUAUAAAUAAUUUUUCUAUAGAUAAUAAAAUGGCACUUAUCAUGAGUGCUGCAUCAUGCAACAACCGUAUAUGUUUC
RNAcentral lists this long non-coding RNA (273 nucleotides) under Trifolium pratense (red clover). RNAcentral's name for it is "long non-coding RNA (TPRA_LNC004718)". The record is from RNAcentral. Lineage: Eukaryota; Viridiplantae; Streptophyta; Magnoliopsida; Fabales; Fabaceae.